UACGUAGGGGGCAAGCGUUAUCCGGAUUUACUGGGUGUAAAGGGAGCGUAGACGGUGAAGCAAGUCUGAAGUGAAAUCCCAUGGCUUAACCAUGGAACUGCUUUGGAAACUGUGCAGCUGGAGUGCAGGAGAGGUAAGCGGAAUUCCUAGUGUAGCGGUGAAAUGCGUAGAUAUUAGGAAGAGCACCAGUGGCGAAAGCGGCUCUCUGGUCUGCAACUGACGCUGAGGCUCGAAAGCGUGGGUAUCAAACAGG
Molecule: ribosomal RNA, 253 nt
Filed under: uncultured Eubacteriales bacterium
Lineage: Bacteria; Bacillati; Bacillota; Clostridia; Eubacteriales
Description: uncultured Clostridiales bacterium partial 16S ribosomal RNA
Rfam family: Bacterial small subunit ribosomal RNA
Source: RNAcentral